ACUAGGAAUUUUGCGCAAUGGGGGCAACCCUGACGCAGCGACACAGCGUGGAGGAAGAAGGUCUUCGGAUUGUAAACUCCUUUUAUAUGGGAAGAAUAGAUGACUGUACCAUAUGAAUAAGCACCUGCUAACUACGUGCCAGAAGCAUCGGUGAUGCGUAGGGUGCGAACGUUAUCCGGAUUUAUUGGGCGUAAAGAGAUGCGUAGGCGUUUCAGUUAGUCUUUCGUUAAAGAUCACGGCUUAACCGUGAAAAAGCGUUGGAUACUGCUGAAAUUGAGACAUGAAGGGGUGAACGGAACUCCAAGUGGAGCGGUGAAAUGCGUUGAUAUUUGGAAGAACAUCGGAGGCGAAGGCGGUUCACUGGUCAUUGUCUGACGCUAAGGCUCGAAAGCGUGGGUAGCAAAACGGAUUAGAUACCCGGGUAGUCC
Molecule: ribosomal RNA, 428 nt
Filed under: uncultured bacterium
Lineage: Bacteria
Description: partial 16S ribosomal RNA
Rfam family: Bacterial small subunit ribosomal RNA
Source: RNAcentral